CCUACGGGUGGCAGCAGUGAGGAAUAUUGGUCAAUGGGCGCAAGCCUGAACCAGCCAAGUCGCGUGAGGGAUGACGGUCCUACGGAUUGUAAACCUCUUUUGUCGGGGAGCAAGGCGCGCCUCGUGAGGCGGGAAGGAGAGUACCCGAAGGAAAAGCAUCGGCUAACUCCGUGCCAGCAGCCGCGGUUAUAGGGAGGAUGCGAGCGUUAUCCGGAUUUAUUGGGUUUAAAGGGUGCGUAGGCGGAAGGUUAAGUCAGCGGUCAAAUGUCGGUGCUCAACACCGGCCUGCCGUUGAAACUGGUCGUCUUGAGUGGGCGAGAAGUAUACGGAAUGCGUGGUGUAGCGGUGAAAUGCAUAGAUAUCACGCAGAACUCCGAUUGCGAAGGCAGCAUACCGGCGCUCAACUGACGCUGAGGCACGAAAGCGUGGGGAUCGAACAGGAUUAGAUACCCUAGUAGUC
This 460-nucleotide ribosomal RNA is filed under the name uncultured bacterium. RNAcentral describes it as "partial 16S ribosomal RNA". It matches the Rfam family "Bacterial small subunit ribosomal RNA", at positions 338 to 795 of the family's 1533-position model. The record is from RNAcentral.